AAGACCUUGCGCUUUUGGAGCGGCCGAUGUCUGAUUAGCUUGUUGGUGAGGUAAAAGCUUACCAAGGCUUCGAUCAGUAGCUGGUCUGAGAGGACGGCCAGCCACACUGGGACUGAGACACGGCCCAGACUCCUACGGGAGGCAGCAGUGGGGAAUUUUGGACAAUGGGGGCAACCCUGAUCCAGCCAUGCCGCGUGAGUGAAGAAGGCCUUCGGGUUGUAAAGCUCUUUCAGCCGGAACGAAACGGUUACGGUUAAUACCCGUGACUACUGACGGUACCGGAAGAAGAAGCACCGGCUAACUACGUGCCAGCAGCCGCGGUAAUACGUAGGGUGCAAGCGUUAAUCGGAAUUACUGGGCGUAAAGCGUGCGCAGGUGGUUUUGUAAGUCAGAUGUGAAAUCCCCGGGCUUAACCCGGGAACU
RNAcentral lists this ribosomal RNA (423 nucleotides) under uncultured bacterium. RNAcentral's name for it is "bacterial SSU rRNA". It matches the Rfam family "Bacterial small subunit ribosomal RNA", at positions 207 to 622 of the family's 1533-position model. The record is from RNAcentral.